GCGGAGACAACAUCUGCCGAAUACUCGUAAUAUAUACCAAUCAUAUCACGGGGGAAUCAUUAAUUGUUAGAGAGAUAAAUUACAAUCAGAUUGGUUUAUGUUAUAUCUGAAAGAUCGAAUUUCUGGAAACGAUCAGUUGAAAUUUGCCUAUACACCUACUGGAAACUUCUGCCAUCGAGACUUUCAUCACGCUGUUAACAGUUUGCCUUUGGAUGCGUUUGUACCUGAGAUCGAUGAAUCGGGAGCCAUGUCUUGCGG
Long non-coding RNA from Camelina sativa (false flax), 258 nucleotides. RefSeq lists it as uncharacterized. Lineage: Eukaryota; Viridiplantae; Streptophyta; Magnoliopsida; Brassicales; Brassicaceae. The record is from RefSeq and is a predicted model, not a curated record.